GACGAACGCUGGCGGCGUGCCUAAUACAUGCAAGUUGAGCGCUGAAGGUUGGUACUUGUACCAACUGGAUGAGCAGCGAACGGGUGAGUAACGCGUGGGGAAUCUGCCUUUGAGCGGGGGACAACAUUUGGAAACGAAUGCUAAUACCGCAUAAAAACUUUAAACACAAGUUUUAAGUUUGAAAGAUGCAAUUGCAUCACUCAAAGAUGAUCCCGCGUUGUAUUAGCUAGUUGGUGAGGUAAAGGCUCACCAAGGCGAUGAUACAUAGCCGACCUGAGAGGGUGAUCGGCCACAGUGGGACUGAGACACGGCCCAAACUCCUACGGGAGGCAGCAGUAGGGGAUCUUCGGCAAUGGACGAAAGUCUGACCGAGCAACGCCGCGUGAGUGAAGAAGGUUUUCGGAUCGUAAAACUCUGUUGGUAGAGAAGAACGUUGGUGAGAGUGGAAAGCUCAUCAAGUGACGGUAACUACCCAGAAAGGGACGGCUAACUACGUG
RNAcentral lists this ribosomal RNA (497 nucleotides) under uncultured bacterium. RNAcentral's name for it is "partial 16S ribosomal RNA". It matches the Rfam family "Bacterial small subunit ribosomal RNA", at positions 28 to 507 of the family's 1533-position model. The record is from RNAcentral.